GACGAACCACACGAACGUUAUUCGGAAUUACUGGGCUUAAAGGGUGCGUAGGCUGUGCGGAAAGUUAGGUGUGAAAUCCCCUGGCUCAACCAGGGAAUUGCGCUUAAAACUACCGUGCUAGAGGAAGAUAGAGGUGAGCGGAACUUCGGGUGGAGCGGUGAAAUGCGUUGAUAUCCGAAGGAACACCGGUGGCGAAAGCAGCUCACUGGAUCUUUUCUGACGCUGAUGCACGAAAGCUAGGGGAGCAAACGGG
RNAcentral lists this ribosomal RNA (253 nucleotides) under uncultured bacterium. RNAcentral describes it as "partial 16S ribosomal RNA". It matches the Rfam family "Bacterial small subunit ribosomal RNA", at positions 524 to 776 of the family's 1533-position model. The record is from RNAcentral.